RNAcentral lists this non-coding RNA (28 nucleotides) under Mus musculus (house mouse). Lineage: Eukaryota; Metazoa; Chordata; Mammalia; Rodentia; Muridae. The record is from RNAcentral.
UGGAUCCACACUAGGUAGUCAGGCCUCC